RNAcentral lists this transfer RNA (77 nucleotides) under Mycoplasmataceae bacterium. RNAcentral describes it as "tRNA-Arg". It matches the Rfam family "tRNA". Rfam says of the family: Transfer RNA (tRNA) molecules are approximately 80 nucleotides in length. Lineage: Bacteria; Bacillati; Mycoplasmatota; Mollicutes; Mycoplasmatales; Mycoplasmataceae. The record is from RNAcentral.
GCUCUCUUAGCUCAAUGGAUUAGAGUUUUUGAUUUCGACUCAAAAGGUUAUAGGUUCGAAUCCUAUAGAGAGCGCCA